CAACUAGACAGCUGGUUAGUGUGUAUUGUUUAGACUGAGGGCAAUGUGGACCAACUAGACAGCUGGUUAGUGUGUAUUGUUUAGACUGAGGUCAAUGUGGACCAACUAGACAGCUGGUUAGUGUGUAUUGUUUAGACUGAGGGCAACGUGGACCAACUAGACAGCUGGUUAGUGUGUAUUGUUUAGACUGAGGUCAAUGUGGACCAACUAGACAGCUGGUUAGUGUGUAUUGUUUAGACUGAGGUCCAUGUGGACCAACUAGACAGCUGGUUAGUGUGUAUUGUUUAGACUGAGGUCAAUGUGGACCAACUAGACAGCUGGUUAGUGUGUAUUGUUUAGACUGAGGUCAAUGUGGACCAACUAGACAGCUGGUUAGUGUGUAUUGUUUAGACUGAGGGCAAUGUGGAUCAACCAGACAGCUGGCUUGUGUGUAUUUUUUACACUGAGGUCAAUGUGGACCAACUAGACAGCUGGUUAGUGUGUAUUGUUUAGACUGAGGGCAAUGUGGACCAACUAGACAGCUGGUUAGUGUGUAUUGUUUAGACUGAGGUCAACGUGGACCAACUAGACAGCUGGUUAGUGUGUAUUGUUUAGACUGAGGGCAAUGUGGACCAACUAGACAGCUGGCUAGUGUGUAUUGUUUAGACUGAGGUCCAUGUGGACCAACUAGACAGCUGGUUAGUGUGUAUUGUUUAGACUGAGGGCAACGUGGACCAACUAGACAGCUGGUUAGUGUGUAUUGUUUAGACUGAGGUCAAUGUGGAUCAACCAGACAGCUGGCUAGGGUGUAUUGUUUAGACUGAGGGCAACGUGGACCAACUAGACAGCUGGUUAGUGUGUAUUGUUUAGACUGAGGUCAAUGUGGACCAACUAGACAGCUGGUUAGUGUGUAUUGUUUAGACUGAGGUCAAUGUGGACCAACUAGACAGCUGGUUAGUGUGUAUUGUUUAGACUGAGGUCAAUGUGGACCAACUAGACAGCUGGUUAGUGUGUAUUGUUUAGACUGAGGUCAAUGUGGACCAACUAGACAGCUGGUUAGUGUGUAUUGUUUAGACUGAGGUCAAUGUGGACCAACUAGACAGCUGGUUAGUGUGUAUUGUUUAGACUGAGGUCCAUGUGGACCAACUAGACAGCUGGUUAGUGUGUAUUGUUUAGACUGAGGGCAACGUGGACCAACUAGACAGCUGGUUAGUGUGUAUUAUUUAGACUGAGGGCAAUGUGGACCAACUAGACAGCUGGUUAGUGUGUAUUAUUUAGACUGAGGGCAAUGUGGACCAACUAGACACCUGGCUAGUGUGUAUUGUUUAGACUGAGGGCAACGUGGACCAACUAGACAGCUGGUUAGUGUGUAUUGUUU
Molecule: long non-coding RNA, 1357 nt
Organism: Oncorhynchus keta (chum salmon)
Lineage: Eukaryota; Metazoa; Chordata; Actinopteri; Salmoniformes; Salmonidae
Exons: 4
Source: RefSeq, a predicted model, not a curated record